Molecule: long non-coding RNA, 11307 nt
Organism: Orcinus orca (killer whale)
Lineage: Eukaryota; Metazoa; Chordata; Mammalia; Artiodactyla; Delphinidae
Exons: 4
Source: RefSeq, a predicted model, not a curated record
UUGGGAGUUGGAGCACCUUGAAGCUGGUGAUGGUUGGGUCCAAGUAAAUUUGAUUUAUUUCCCACUGUUGCUGUUUUCAAAAGCAUGAGGACGACAGGGAGAGGAGAUGAGAAUCAAGAGGAGAGAAAGCAGGGGAGGAGAAAGGGAAAAAGUGAUUUAGAAGAUUUGCUUCAGCUCAUCAUCAUCUUCACUUCCUUCUGAACACUUGCUUCUCAGAAUCCCUUACCAUCAGGCUUCCAGUUUAGGUUCUGCCAGUGAGAAGUACCCGUGUGAGAUUAAGACGGUGGAAGAGAAGAAGGGUCAUCUUUUGGACCUGGCUCUCUGUUUAGGCCAGCCUCAAUACCUGCAGUUUUACUUGGUGAGUUUGUGAUGCUGCGCUCUUGGAAGCAGAACAUGAGCCAUUGGCGUGGAUAGUGGGGGCAGCAGGACAGACCAUUUGUGGGGACACGGGUUCGAGCCCUGGUCUGGGAGGAUCCCACAUGCGGCGGAGCAACUGGGCCCGUGAGCCACAAUUACUGAGCCUGUGCGUCUGGAACCUGUGCUCCGCAACAAGAGAGGCCGCGAUAGUGAGAGGCCUGUGCACCGCAAUGAAGAGUGGCCCCCGCUUGCCACAACUAGAGAAAGCCCUCGCACAGAAACGAAGACCCAACACAGCCAUAAAUAAAUAAUAAUUUAAAAAAAAAAAUAAAGAAAAGAAAAUUAUGGUGCCACACGUCCCUAGCCAGGAAGAGCUGAAAAUUCAAAAUCUUAAGUAUGGUUUCUACUGAGUGCGUAUUGCUUCUGCAGCAUCAUUAAGCGCGAAAAAUUGUUAAGUCGGGGACUCCGUCUCUAGACAUUAGAUAAAUAAAGAUUCCUGCCUUAAGUGGGGCAAAGGGCUACCUGCUCACCAUCCUCCACCGUCAUCUCCCACGGCCACCAUGGAUAUGGAUACCCUUCACAGGAACCUGCGAGGACCCAAGAAGCACAAUUUAAAUACCACAUUCCUAAAAGAGAGAGAGCAUAGCUUGUAUUUCCUGGGCACCUAGAGAGAUGGGGGUAAACCGCAGGCUUAUUUUCAAGCUACCAUCUAUAGAGCACUUAACUGCAUGCCGGACCUGUUCUAAGUGUUUUACAUUGGUUAGUUCACUUAAUCCUUACAGCAACCCUGGAGAAGUAAGUAUCUUUAUUACCCACCUUGUGCCAACAAGAGGACUAAAGCAGUGUGCUUAAAUCAGGAUCACACCGCUAGGAUAGCUAGAGAAUUUAGUUCCAGAGCUUGUGGGCUUAUGCACUCUGUAUGUUCCCCCAAAUCUCCUUUAGAGUGAUGAGUGAGGAGCAUUGGAAUCCAGGCAGUUAGAAAAAACUCAACAGCCUCAGAAUCCAGCCUGAGCAGCCCUCAGCGCCCCAUUGAUAUCCUGGAUGACUCCGCCCAACUUCCACAUCUGACAGCUCAGUUAUAGACAGUCCCUGACGUAGAAGGAGUUAAAGUGCUGCCCCUUGGCUAUUUUAAUCCCUCAGCUGGCGACACAUUAUGUGUUGAAAUAACCAGUGAAAUGAUGCAAAGGCUGUUUUUUCUAAGGCUCUUAAAAUUCUGAUUGGUAGGGUUAAUUGCUACAACCUUGGCUCUGAAUAUCUCCCCACUGUUCUUUCACCCCAGUCCGGAUGCAGGAAGAAAGCACUGAGCUUCCCAGGCUGCUGCAGGCUUGAGGGCUGGUCUUCCCGAGAACAGGGCAAAUUUGAGGACUUUGAACCACACACUCAGGGACAGAACCAUCAAUAUCUGGAAUGUUUUUUCUCUGAAAUUUUGAUAGCACCUCCAAUCAGAAAUGUAAAAAAAAAAAAAAAAAAGUAAUAAAAGCCAAGCAGGAAUUCCCUUGUGGUCCAGUGGUUAGGACUCUGCCCUUCCACUGCAGGGGCCACAGGUUCCAUCCCUGGUCGGGGAUCUCAGAUCCCACAUGCUGCGUGGCUUGGCAAAAAAUAAAAAAAAUUAAAAAUUAAAGCCAAGCAAACCCCGCACAACUUGUGGGUUGUAUAGAAGUCUCACAUUUCUGAUCUGCCAUAUGUGUGGGAGUGAUGUCAAAUGUUGUUGUUAAAAACACUUUAUCCAUUUCUCAAUUAGGAGUCCUCAAAGAUGUCAAGAGACCAAGAAUAUUUGAACAGUAUAAAAGCCUAGUUCCUUCACCUAUUUCUUCUUUCCUUGGGUAGAAAAAUAAACUAUUAUUUGAAUUAUUGGGAGAAGCCGAUAGGAAAGGCUUGGCUUUUAUUAAAGAGCAGAAGUGAAUUAUUCAUUCACAUGAGGGUUGAAAGUACAGUCUCUGUCAUACCCUAAAUAUCUGGAACUCUGGAGCCCAGCCUGCACGUUUCCUGGGAGCACGACUGGCUUCACAGUUUCUGGGGCUUGGUGGCAGAUGAACAUGGAAGGGCCCUUGCUCAAAAUUACUUAGAACUUUAAGACGGCACCACCAGAGCUUCAGACUAAGUGCAGGGUUGGUCUGGGCGAGGAGCCGUUUGUGGACGUCCCUGGAGCUGGCCCUGCCUGUGUGCAGUGACCCAUACUGAGUCCUGGGAGGAUGGGAAAGCCUCCUUCUCUACCAAUGGAGGCCCAGGAAAGAAGCAAUCGUGUGCUCCAACUCACACUUAAGAAGGCUGGAGUCAGACCACUGCUCCCAAUCACCCCUUCUUUCAAGCUUGUGGUGGAAUAAGAAUCCCAUCCAAGGGCUUCCCUGGUGGUGCAGUGGUUAAGAAUCCGCUUGCCAAUGCAGGGGACAUGGGUUUGAGCCCUGAUCCGGGAAGAUCCCACACGCCGUGGAGCAACUAAGCCCGUGCGCCACAACUACUGAGCCUGCGCUCUAGAGCCUGCGAGCCACAACUACUGAGCCCACGUGCCACAACUACUGAAGCUGGGGAGCCUAGAGCCCAUGCUCCACAACAAGAGAGGCCACUGCAACGAGAAGCCCGCGCACCACAAUGAAGAGUAGCCCCCCCUCACUGCAACUAGAGAAAGCCUGCACGCAGCAACGAAGACCCAAGGCAGCCUAAAUAAAUAAAUAAAUAAAAAAUAAAGUUCUUGGUGAGGACUUCCCUGGUGGUGCAGUGGUUAAGAAUCCGCCUGCCAAUGCAGGGGACACGGGUUCAAGCCUUAGUCCAGGAAGAUCCUACAUGCCCAGGAAGAUCCCACAUGCCGUAGAGCAACUAAGCCUGUGCACCACAACUACUGAGCCUGCGCUCUAGAACCCGUGAGCCACAACUACUGAGCCCAUGCCACAACUACUGAAGCCUGCAUGCCUAGAGCCCGUGCUCCGCAACAAGAGAAGCCACCGCAAUGAGAAGCCCGCGCACCACAACGAAGAGUAGCCCCUGCUCGCCGCAACUAGAGAAAGCAAUGAAGACCCAACACAGCCAAAAAUAAACAAAUUUAUUUAAAAAAUCCCAUCCAAGACAAAGACAAAUACCAUAUGAUAUCACUUAUACGUGGAAUAUAAAAUAUGACACAAAUGAACCUAUCUAUGAAACAAACAGAAUCAGAGACAUAGAGAAUAGACUGGUGGUGGCCAAGGGGGAGGGGUGUGAGAGAAGGUAGGAAUGGGAGUUUGGGGUUAGCAGAUGCAAACUGGAAUAUAUAGGAUGGAUAAACAACAAGGUCCUACUGUAUAGCACCGGGAACUAUAUUUAAUAUCCUGUGAUAAACCAUAAUGGAAAAGAAUAUGAAAAGCAAUGUAUAUACAUGUAUAAAUGAGUCAUUUUGCUGUACAGCAGUAAUUAACAUAAUAUUGUAAUUCAACUAUACUUCAAUAAAAAAUAAAUUAAAAAAAAAAAGAAUCCCAUCCCCUACCCAUUCAACCAGUAUUUGUGUCACUAUUGGAUGAAUCCCACUUUCUGGAAUAAAGAGGAGAGAAUCAGUUCAUGUUACACGUACAUUACUUUUUUAAAAAAUACGCUUUAUUUUUUAGUGUUAGGUUCACAGCAAAAUUGAGAGGAAGGUACAGAGAGUUCCCAUAUACUUUCUGCUCUCACGUAUGCACAGCUUCCCCCAUUACCAACAUCCCCACCAGGUGGUAUAUCUGUUAUAACUGAUGACCCUACACAGACACAUCAUUGUCAGCCAAAGUCUAUAGUUUACAUUAGGGUUUAUUCUUAGGGUCAUACAUUCUGUAGGUUUGGAGAAAUAUAUAAUGUCAUGUAACCACUAUUAUAGUAUCACACGGAAUAGUUUCACUGCCCAAAAAAUCAUCUGGGCUCCACCUAUUCAUUCCUCCUUCCUCUUUCUUUUUUCUUUUUGGCUGUGACAUGUGGCUUGCGGGAUCUUAGUUCCCCGACCAGGGAUUGAACCUGCGCCCACAGCAGUGAAAGCACAGAGUCCUAACCACUGAACCACCAGGGAAUUCCCCCUCCUUCUUCUGAAUGUUUUAUACAUUUUGUGUGUGUGUGCCAUUUGUCAGUCUGGUGAAGUCUUUGGAUAUUUUCUCCCAAAUAAGAUUUUUAAUGCAUAAAAUACAAUAAUAAUUGAAGUACAAAAGGGAGUCGUAUACUAAAGUUACGAAAACAUUUAAAAACAAAAUCGUUAGUAAUAUAUUUGCUUCUUCAUUAGCACAUUAAAUUCCUAGACCUGACAGCAAGUCUAACACCUACUAUAAUUUUCAAGUAGUGAUGAUGGGCAUACAUGAUCAUUUGAAAUAUCUGCAGUGAUUCUGAUGUGCAAUGAAAGUAUUAGUGACAGAGCUACAGGGUCUACUGAAUACAACUGUGGUUUUAUCCAUUUAUUUUUGGCCCAUAUUCAUAAGGGAAGGAAAUGCUAGAUCUCAGAGAGAGGAUGAUGAGAAUAAAGCUGUGAUAUAUAUCUUUUCCCACCCAACCUCUCACGCCCCAGGCUGGUAUUAAGCGCUCGUCUGUCUGCUGGGACAUAGCACACCAAGUUGCUCCCCUAAGAGCUGGCCCCUACCACACGGGCAUUGGCUAAGGAGCAAACCGGUAAGGGAGGGGGACGCUGGAAGGGUGGAAGGGAGAGAAGUUCUUCCGUUUCGCUCACCGUGUCUGCCAGCGUCCUGCCAACGAUAGUGUUCCAUCCUAGUAGCGGAAGGUGAUUCUAGCAGUGGUUGGUUCCAGUUUCCAGUUGUUUCCACGCUCUCAGAACCAGCCUCCUGGUGUCCUCAUGAGACACCACCCGCUGGGUACCAUCCUCUUGGCUACUCAAACAAACUAUCAAACACUGGAUAGCUUAAAACAACAGAGAUGGAUUGUCUCAGGUUCUGGAGGCUGGAAGUCUGAGAUGAAGGGGUGGGCAGAGCCGAGCUCCCUCUGACAGCUCCAGAGGAGAAGGUUCCCUACCUCUUCUGGCUUCUGGCGCUGCCUGCAAUCUCGGUGUUCCUCAGCUCAUAGAUACAUCAUGGCUCCAGUCACGUGCGUGCCGUCUUCUCAUUGUGUCUUCACAUUGUCUUCCCUCCACGUAUCUCUGUGUCCUCAUCUCUUCUUUCUAUAAGGCUAUCGUCAUACUAGAUUAGGACCCAUUCUAAUGACCUCCUUUUAACUUGAUUACCUCUGUAAGGACCCACUUUCCAAAUAAGGUCACAUUCAGAGGUCCUGGGGGUUAGGUCUCCUAUAUAUAUAUAUAUAUAUUUAUUUAUUUAUUUAUUUAUUUAUUUAUUUAUUUAUUUUAUUUUAUUUUUUUUGCGGUACGCGGGCCUCUCACUGUUGUGGCCUCUCCCGUUGCGGAGCACAGGCUCCAGACGCGCAGGCUCAGCGGCCAUGGCUCACGGGCCCAGCCGCUCCGCGGCAUGUGGGAUCUUCCCAGACUGGGGCACAAACCCGUGUCCCCUGUAUUAGCAGGCAGACUCUCAACCACUGCGACACCAGGGAAGCCCUCUAAUAUAUAUUUUUUGAGGGGACACAAUUUAACCUAUCACACCUCUUCUCAGGGGUCUGGGUCCCAGCUCCGUGGAAACCGUCUCCAAGCUUCUAGUUCCCCCAACCCCAGGUGGGGAGCUGUUUCCUACAGUUAUCAUUUCUGAGCUACCUAGUGUCUUCCAGUCCUCCAGGCUCUGAUUAAUCAAUUCCUUACAUUACAUUCUCUCUGUUAAAAUAACUGGUGUGGUUUCACUUUCCUGGCCAGACCUUGGCUGACUUAGAGGACCCCUGAAUCUUCAGCGUGGAUCCCAGGUUAAGAGGAUCUGAUGUCUUAAAUAGAUAUCCAGUAAUUAUUUCAAGAAAGAAUCAGGAAUUAUAAGUGAGGAAAUGAGACUUCCAAAAUGUAUACCCUUUUGUCUCGUUUAAAUGUCUCAGUUGUUCCCUUAUUGUAUUCUUGUGUUAGAUACUAGAAAAUGAGAUGGACCCAGGAGUUUGUCUUCAGAGGCAGUGAGAAAGGAGGAAGCUGUGUGUGUGGGGGGCAGGGGUGGGGAGGUCUUGGGUGAGAAGCAACCCCAUGGGGUAGAGAAGAGGGGCAGCAUUAAGAGAAAAUGAAAGUCAUUGAGUCCCUGGGACUGGGGCAGGGUGGAAAAGAAGAAUAUAGUAGCUGGGCCUGGGAACCAGUUCUGGGAAUCCCACAGGGAAAAAAGCUUUGGUGCCCUUUAACCCAGUCUCUAGAAAGCUCUCCUAGGAAAAUAAUCCAAAAGAAAAAAUAUCUAAACCCCUUGACUUUUUCCCAGCCUGUCAGGCCUGUGGGUACAGACAAGGGUCCAUUAACUGAUGUCCAUGGUCUUUGGCAUCCUGGCCCACAUGCGGAACUGGACGACUUCAAGCCUCUGCUUGGAGCCUGCCAAUCAGUUCUCAGAGUCCCUUGCAAGGGUCUCAUACGUGCUAAGGGCCAGACCUGCUUCUGUUCUGCUCUUGCCUGUGUGUGGAAGUCCUCAGCCUGCAGGCCAUGAGAGGGUGGUGCUUUGCUUCUGCCCCAGCUGUUCCACCCACAUGAAAACGCUGCAUCUGGGCCAUUUUCAUGGACAUGGCAAGCUCUGCCAAUGUGCCUGGCUGUCCUUUUCACAUCUGGACCAGGAAGUGACACUGCUUUGCCCUGGGUCUCACAGACCUUUCAUCAAAAAGACGCUUUCCCCUUCUGCCUGUUCACCUCCUCUUUACAUAAGACCAGACCCAGUCCAGUCUUGGACUUCAGACACCAGUCACAAGUCCAGGCAGUCACCUGUGCUUUGACUGUCCCAGUAUAUCUCAGAGGUUCCCGUGACCUCCUCCUUGGGUUUGAUUAAUUUGCUAGAGCGGCUCACCGAACCUGGAAAACCUGUUGACUCACUAGAUCACUGGUUUAUUAUGAAAACUUAUCACUCAGCAAGAGCCACAUGGAGGAGAUGCAUAGGACAAGAAAUGGGGGAAAGGGCGUGGAGCUUCCAUGACCCCUCUGAGGCCGUUCUCCCAGUAUCUCCACAUGUUCUCCAACCUGUAUGCUCUCUGAACUCUGUCCUUUUUGGGGUUUUGUGGAGGCUUCAUUACAUAGGCAUGAUUGAUUGAAUCAUUGGUCAUUGGUAGCUGACUCAACCUCCAGCCCCUCUCCUCUCCCUGGAAAUCACAAGGUAGGGCUGAAAGUUCCAACCCUCUAGUCACGUGGUUGACUCCACAGGCAACCAGCCCUCAACCCUUACAGAGGGCUGUCCAAAAGUCACCUCGUUAACAUAACAAAAGGCACCUUAAGGGCUUGCAUCAGGAAUGGGUCAAAGGCCAAAUAUCUAUAUUGCCUAUUAUAGUCACGAUAUCACUGGCCCGUGGAUAAAGAUGGUCCCCUCUGCUGCUCCCUCAGUGAAACAGGGAGCAUAACUCCUGCUCUGUGAGUCUUCCGGAGCCUCAAACUGGUUCAUGGGUGUGAAGUUAUUUCAAUAGUUUGAAAGAAAGAACAAGUCUUGCUACUUUUUAAAGGACCUGCUGAAGAACUUUGGACACUGUGCUCUCAAGAAGAAUGACUUUUCUAGAGACUCACUCAGAGGACUUACCAGCAGGUGCAUGAACCCCUUGUUGAGGGCACUGGGGUUUGGGGUGAGAGGACCUGGAUUCAAGACCCGGUUCUGCCAUAUUCCAGGCACGUGACUUGGGCCUCACGCUUCCUCAUCUGUAGAAUGGGAAUAACAAUAACAUCUCUUACAAAGCCCUGUUGUGAAGAUCAAAUGAGGUGAGUGAAAGUGUAAAGAAAAAAAAAAGGCAUUUGCCAUUAUUAUAAUUAUUAAUAUCUAUGUUAUAUAUAUUUAUAUCUAUAUAAAUUAUAGAUAUUAUAAUAUUAUAAUUAUUAUAUCUAUGUACCUAAUGAUUACAAAGGUAUUCAUUAGGUACAUAGAUAUAAUAAUUAUUAUAUCUAAUAAUUAGAUAUAAUUAUUAGAUUAUUAUAUCUAAUAAUUAUUAUAUAUGAUAAUAUAUAUAUAUAUAUGAUUUUAUUAAUUACAAUGGAGCAUGGGCUAGGGUUAAAAGGGCACAGAAUUGCUUCCCUGGUGGUGCAGUGGUAGAGAGUCCGCCUGCCGAUGCAGGGGACGCGGGUUCGGCCCCGGUCCGGGAAGAUCCCACAUGCCGCGGAGCGGCUGGGCCCGUGAGCCAUGGCCGCUGAGCCUGCGCGUCUGGAGCCUGUGCUCCGCAACGGGAGAGGCCACAACAGUGAGAGGCCCGCGUGCCGCAAAAACAAACAAACAAACAAGCAAGAAAGGGCACGGAAGACUGGCCCUGCACGCAAAGGUCUUGCGCACAGACAGAAAACUGUGGCCACCGGUGCUCACUGACAGGCGAGCCCCACCCAGUAAGCGCUGGGGUUGGGGGGGUGGCAGGGAGAAGGUUGAAGUUAAGGGUUCACAUCAGUUCCUCCGUGGGGGAGGAACUGAUAUCAGAGGGCUCUUCAGGCUCCCUGUAAAGGGGUGGUAGGGGUAACAACAGGGACAUUCAGUCCUGCCAAUCUGCCCCAGAUCCCAAACUAGAUCUAGGGGCGGAGCCUCCGCAGGCAAACACGCCAGCUUCGAGUCCGGGAAAGAAGUCGGCUCCAUAAGCAGCUGUCAAUCAACCACAGUCAUCCCAGCUCUAGGGUCUCCAAGCAUCUUGGGAGAAGGCGCUGCUUCCCAAGUCUUUACACCCUUGAGAUGGCAUCACGCAUCAGGGGAAGGGGGUGGGCUCAGCCCACCUCCGUCACUCAGAUCCCGCGGUGGGAGAAAUCCGGGAGAAGAGGGCUCUGGCGAUGUGGUCCUCCGCCCGGCGGAAAAGUGGGGGGCCCUCUGCGUGGCCGAAGUCCGAGCCAACGGCAGGGAGGGGAGAUGGAGUUUGGCAGCAACCGCCCUUGGUGGUCUGCCCGGGGAGACUCAGAACGAGCAGAUUUGGGUCUCUGCGACAGCGCCCCAGCCUUGCUUCAAUGGCCCUUGACUUCCCUAGCUUCUUGCCACACAGCCUGAGCUUGUUUUUCUCGCCUGUAAUAAAGAGGUUGUUAAAACGACAUGAAAAAUCUAGUCUCGAACUUGCUAAUUAUUCAAUAAAUAGUAGCUGUCAUCGGCGUGGUCACAGUCAGCAGCACUGCCGCAUCAUCCGUGGGUGGCUGAGUCAGACCCGCCGGACCCCGCGCGGGACCUCGACUCUUUCCAGGCGCUUUCGCUCCCCGGCCUGGGAAGGAGCUGCAAACGUCCUGCUGCCCAGGCAACGAGGAGCCCGCGCGCAGAACCGGGAGCAGACCUUGCACGCGUCCUUCUUCCCCUCGCUCCCCACGCUCCAGGUUGGUGCAUCAAACACCUGGAUUUCUACUGGCUUCCAUGCGAUCGUUCUAGUGCCCACGAGGACCGCAGGCGCUGGCUGAACUCCAACCCAGACAACCUACCUGGCUCUUACUCCCCGCAUCUCAGUGGUUCUAUUGGGACCACAGAGGGGCUAUUGUGAUGUGGUGGGAGCAUUUUUAUUGCAACAAAAAUGGCAUUUAUUGGGGUUGCCAGUGAUGGCAGACACCCUGCAAAGUGUGGAACAGUCCUGAAUAACAAAGAACUGUGUGGCAUGACUUUCAGAUGUCCCUCGGGACAUCCAUAUAAGUGAAAGACCAUUUAUUAUUUUAUCUGAGCUGGGAUCUAACCCAGUUUAUGUAUAAACAAAACGCUUUUUUUUUUGCAAGAUGUUUAAAUUGUGGUAAAAAAUACAGAAUGUAAAAUUUUACCAUUUUAACCAUCUUUAAGGGCACAAUUAAGUGGCAUUGAGUACAUCUGCAAUGUUGUGCAACGUCACUGCAAUAUAAUUCCAAACCUUUUCAUUACCCCAAACAGAAGCUCUCUACACAUGAAGCAAUAUUUCCCUCUUUUCCCCGCCCCCAGCCCUUAAUAACUUCUAAUCUACUUUCUGUCUCUGUGAAUUUGUCUAUUCUAGGGACCUCAUAUAGGUGGAAUCAUACAAUAUCUGUUCUUUUUUUCAUCACAAACUUUGCCAAGGGUUGUUCACCACAUGGGAAAAUUACUAUCACCGGAGACUAGGCCAUGCAUAGUAUCUGAAUCAUCAAUAAAAGUUAUAUGCAUCUGUCUGCAUUUGUAACAUUGAACAUGGCUGCAAGCAUUUGACACUUUAAUAUGCUUUCUAGUGUGAUUAUGUCCAAACAUUCAUGUAUUGAAAUACAUUUUAUUUUAUUUUAUUUUGCAUUCCUUUUUAUUCCCAAGUUAAAGCAUUAUGGUUUUUUAAAAAUUAUGUAUUGGUAGCUUAAAUAAGCUGUUAAUAUCAUUUUAGGUUGGUGACGGGGUCAUUACAAAAUAUUUAUUACUAAAUGGGGCUUUGGGCUUAGUGGGGCUGAGAAUCAGAGACUUAUACCCUACAGUUCCUGACAAAUGACCAGGCAUGAGGGAACGUAUCCCCAGAAGUGAGGUGCUGUUGACCAACCUUGAAUAUGACCUGUGUUUACAACCUUACACAGCCAGCCCCACCCCUCAGAUAGGAAAUCCUCAAACCACUGAACCGAUUGUCUCUUUGGUCACCACUGCCUGACUGUUGAGGUCUGACCAGUGCAGACCAUAGGGAUUUUUGCUCCUGUCCUCAGUGUUGGCCAUUGUAAUUACUGUUGUUCUUAGCCUUAAUGAUGGGCAUAGGCAGCCUAAACAAAUUGAGAUCAGAUUAUUUCUCAGCAAUUACCUAAAAGUGAAGCUGUAUUUUCAGCAUUCAACAAAAUGAUUGAUUCCAGCACAAGUCCUGCGCAUCUCAUGUGUUGACCGAGAAUCAGUAUUGACGCUGCAAAGAACAAAACGCUUUAUUUGGGGUCUUAAGAAUUGCAGUUUGUGGGAGUUUCCUGGUGGCUUAGUGUUUGGGAUUCGGCGCUGUCACUGCUGUGGCCUGGGUUCGAUCCCUGGGGGGAAUCUCACAAGCUGUGCGGCAAGCCCAAAACUUUAAAAAGAGAAAAAAAUAAAAGAA